RNAcentral lists this long non-coding RNA (840 nucleotides) under Olea europaea subsp. europaea. The record is from RNAcentral. Lineage: Eukaryota; Viridiplantae; Streptophyta; Magnoliopsida; Lamiales; Oleaceae.
AUUUUUUUAAGUCAAAUAUCAUUUAUUGAUCACAAAAUUAACCAAUUUAUUGGUCAAUCAACCAAAUAAAUGGUCACAAGCACCCUACUCCAUCCCAUUCCAUCCUACCUUCGACCUCUCCAUCGCCUCCACAACCACUACCACCACUAACAUCGUCACCACCUCACUAGACCACCAACAUCACCACCACAAUCAACGUCACAACUGUCACCACCCAAACAUCACCAAAAAAUCAAAUCCAAAAUAACGUUAUCGCACAACCAUGUUGCGACUUCGCAACAACCACAAGGCCGCAUCAUUACCACCACGAGUACCACCAAUAGCACCACGAAGUCACCAGGCUGCCAACAACACCACCACCUCGCCGUAGUAGCUAACAUCACAACUACCACCAACCAAAUACCAAACACCAAAUAUCAGAGAACGGGAUGCUGAAAGAACCAAACACCGCGCCAAAAUCACAACACCACCAACAAAACGCCGAAAAUAAAAUCCAAAAAUUAGAUAAUCGGAUGAAGACGGCGGCUAGGAACUGGAUGUUGGAAGAACCAAACACCGGGAGUUCGCAACAGCAUCCGAAAGAACUGGGCUGCUAUGCCUGACGCUAUUUACAGAAGAUGAAGACAACAGCUGGAAACGAGCUACCGACUGCUGUGAUGUGUGAGAUGGAGAGAUGUGGAGAGGGUAUGUUGAUUGCAGUGUGUCUGUGUGUGAGAGAGAGAGAGAGAUGGGUACUGAGAGAUGUAGUGAGAGAAACGAGAGUGGAGAGUACUGAGGGUGUGUGAUAAAUUUUGGUGGUAAUAUUAAAUAUUUGAAUUAAUACUACACGUAAAUCAAAAA